This is a long non-coding RNA of Cyprinus carpio (common carp), 621 nucleotides long. RefSeq lists it as uncharacterized. NCBI's taxonomy places the organism in Eukaryota, Metazoa, Chordata, Actinopteri, Cypriniformes, Cyprinidae. The transcript is spliced from 4 exons. The record is from RefSeq and is a predicted model, not a curated record.
AGGCGCUGAUGGUAGAAAGGCAGCUUCGCACCGGCCUCUUGUCUGGCCACUCUACAGAUUUCUGAGGAUUUUCAGACACAUACGACAGCUUCCGCAUACGCAAGCACGUACGCCGGUGACGCAAUAUCCGGGAGGCGGCAUGGCCAUCACAGCCAAAUACUGCCAGCAGGAGCUGGGGGAAUAUGGGGCCUGUGUCGUCUCAUAUCCAGCAUCAUGGCAAGAGAAGUGUCCAGACCUGAAGCUGAGGGUGGCACAGUGCACUUCAUCACAUGCAGUCCAGUGAUAAGGAAGAUCUGAACAGAUUCAGUGUUUGAGCGCUGUCUGCUGGAGAAGCGUGUCACCUCACACUUUCCUUACCUGUGUUGAGACCGUCGACCUUUCAGGAAUAGCAAAUGCUGCGCCGCAGCCCACAUAGGUGGUUUUUGUCACCGUUCUGGCUAAAGAGGACAAUAACACAGGUGUUUUAUACUCAGUACUGAGAGGAAAUAGGCUGGGAAAAGAUUUAUUAUCUUUGAAGUACUGUAACACACUCAAAAAACAAAACAAAAACAAGCCUCAAUCUUUUGCACAACUUUUUUCAAACUAUUCAAUGUGAUGUUUGUUUUGUUUUGUUAAUGGAAC